Molecule: ribosomal RNA, 497 nt
Filed under: uncultured bacterium
Lineage: Bacteria
Description: partial 16S ribosomal RNA
Rfam family: Bacterial small subunit ribosomal RNA
Source: RNAcentral
GAUGAACGCUGGCGGCGUGCCUAAUACAUGCAAGUCGAGCGAACGGACGAGAAGCUUGCUUCUCUGAUGUUAGCGGCGGACAGGUGAGUAACACGUGGAUAACCUACCUAUAAGACUGGGAUAACUUUGGGAAACCGGAGCUAAUACCGGAUAAUAUUUUGAACCGCAUGGUUCAAAAGUGAAAGACGGUCUUGCUGUCACUUAUAGAUGGAUCCGCGCUGCAUUAGCUAGUUGGUAAGGUAACGGCUUACCAAGGCAACGAUGCAUAGCCGACCUGAGAGGGUGAUCGGCCACACUGGAACUGAGACACGGUCCAGACUCCUACGGGAGGCAGCAGUAGGGAAUCUUCCGCAAUGGGCGAAAGCCUGACGGAGCAACGCCGCGUGAGUGAUGAAGGUCUUCGGAUCGUAAAACUCUGUUAUUAGGGAAGAACAUAUGUGUAAGUAACUGUGCACAUCUUGACGGUACCUAAUCAGAAAGCCACGGCUAACUACGUG